RNAcentral lists this transfer RNA (83 nucleotides) under Caudoviricetes sp. RNAcentral's name for it is "tRNA-Leu". It matches the Rfam family "tRNA". Rfam says of the family: Transfer RNA (tRNA) molecules are approximately 80 nucleotides in length. Their secondary structure includes four short double-helical elements and three loops (D, anti-codon, and T loops). Lineage: Duplodnaviria; Heunggongvirae; Uroviricota; Caudoviricetes. The record is from RNAcentral.
GGUGUGGUGGAAUGGCAGACACAAGGGACUUAAAAUCCCUCGGUGAAACAUCCGUGCGAGUUCGAGCCUCGCUACCCGUACCA